This 460-nucleotide ribosomal RNA is filed under the name uncultured bacterium. RNAcentral describes it as "partial 16S ribosomal RNA". It matches the Rfam family "Bacterial small subunit ribosomal RNA", at positions 338 to 795 of the family's 1533-position model. The record is from RNAcentral.
CCUACGGGAGGCAGCAGUGAGGAAUAUUGGUCAAUGGACGCAAGUCUGAACCAGCCAUGCCGCGUGCAGGAUGACGGCUCUAUGAGUUGUAAACUGCUUUUGUACGAGGAUAAACGCAGAUACGCGUAUCUGUUUGAAAGUAUCGUACGAAUAAGGAUCGGCUAACUCCGUGCCAGCAGCCGCGGUAAUACGGAGGAUUCGAGCGUUAUCCGGAUUUAUUGGGUUUAAAGGGUGCGUAGGCGGUCGGAUAAGUUAGAGGUGAAAUCCCGAGGCUCAACUUCGGAAUUGCAAUUGAUACUGGUAGGCUAGAGAGUAGUUGCGGUAGGCGGAAUGUAUGGUGUAGCGGUGAAAUGCUUAGAGAUCAUACAGAACACCGAUUGCGAAGGCAGCUUACCAAGCUACUACUGACGUUGAGGCACGAAAGCGUGGGGAGCAAACAGGAUUAGAUACCCGUGUAGUC